AUACUUACCUGGCAGGGGAGACACCAUGAUCAGGCAGGUGGUUUUCCCAGGGCGAGACUCAUCCUUUGCACUCUGGGUGUGCUGACCCCUGCAAUUUCCCCAAAUGAGGGAAAAAUACUUUUUUUUUUGCCAGGCUCUUCUCACUGGC
RNAcentral lists this small nuclear RNA (148 nucleotides) under Tauraco erythrolophus (red-crested turaco). RNAcentral describes it as "U1 spliceosomal RNA". It matches the Rfam family "U1 spliceosomal RNA". Rfam says of the family: U1 is a small nuclear RNA (snRNA) component of the spliceosome (involved in pre-mRNA splicing). Its 5' end forms complementary base pairs with the 5' splice junction, thus defining the 5' donor site of an intron. Lineage: Eukaryota; Metazoa; Chordata; Aves; Musophagiformes; Musophagidae. The record is from Rfam by way of RNAcentral.